RNAcentral lists this non-coding RNA (106 nucleotides) under Pseudoxanthomonas suwonensis. RNAcentral's name for it is "TPP sequence". It matches the Rfam family "TPP riboswitch aptamer (THI element)". From Rfam's summary of the family: Vitamin B(1) in its active form thiamin pyrophosphate (TPP) is an essential coenzyme that is synthesised by coupling of pyrimidine and thiazole moieties in bacteria. The previously detected thiamin-regulatory element, thi box was extended, resulting in a new, highly conserved RNA secondary structure, the THI element, which is widely distributed in eubacteria and also occurs in some archaea. Analysis of operon structures identified a large number of new candidate thiamin-regulated genes, mostly transporters, in various prokaryotic organisms. RNAcentral also lists the same sequence under 1 other name. Lineage: Bacteria; Pseudomonadati; Pseudomonadota; Gammaproteobacteria; Lysobacterales; Lysobacteraceae. The record is from RNAcentral.
CCGGCGAAGCGGGGGUACCGCGGCGCCGUCCAGGCGCGCGGUUGAGACAGUCCCUUGGAACCUGAUCCGGCUGAUACCGGCGUAGGGAAGCUUCGCAGGACGGGAU